UGAGGAAUAUUGGACAAUGGGCGCAAGCCUGAUCCAGCCAUGCCGCGUGCAGGAAGAAGGCGUUAUGCGUUGUAAACUGCUUUUUGCCAGGGGAUAAAAAGACCGUGCGCGGUUAAUUGAAGGUACCUGGUGAAUAAGCCACGGCUAACUACGUGCCAGCAGCCGCGGUAAUACGUAGGUGGCAAGCGUUGUCCGGAUUUAUUGGGUUUAAAGGGUGCGUAGGUGGCCCUGUAAGUCAGUGGUGAAAUAUCUCAGCUUAACUGAGAGGGUGCCAUUGAUACUGCAGGGCUUGAGUACAGAUGAGGUAGGCGGAAUUGACGGUGUAGCGGUGAAAUGCAUAGAUAUCGUCAAGAACACCGAUAGCGAAGGCAGCUUACCAAGCUGUAACCGACACUGAGGCACGAAAGUGUGGGGAUCAAACGGGAUUAGAUACCCCAGUAGUCCCUGAGCGGGCUGGCAAGGCGCAU
This 467-nucleotide ribosomal RNA is filed under the name uncultured bacterium. Its description in RNAcentral is "bacterial SSU rRNA". It matches the Rfam family "Bacterial small subunit ribosomal RNA", at positions 355 to 825 of the family's 1533-position model. The record is from RNAcentral.